Molecule: non-coding RNA, 530 nt
Organism: Equus caballus (horse)
Lineage: Eukaryota; Metazoa; Chordata; Mammalia; Perissodactyla; Equidae
Source: the annotation of a RefSeq genome assembly
CAGCCAUUCAGAGAAGGGCUGGUCUCUGGGCUUGAGUGAGAAGAAGCAAAAUUUCAACCAGGAGAAGACUUUCUAUCAUGCUCUGCCCUGGCCUGCUGUGGGCAUUCAUGGCCUCCUUCAGCUUCGGAUCCAGCAUGGCUCAGAAAGUAACCCAAACUCAGACCAUAAUGACAAGGAAGGAAGGAGAAUCAGUGACCAUGGACUGCAAGUAUGAACUUGGUUGGAGCAAUUAUUAUUAUGCUUUGUACUGGUACAAGCAGCUUCCCAGUGGAGAGAUGGUUUUCCUUAUUUAUCAGGAUUCUUCCAAGCCAAGUGCAAAACAGGGUCACUUCUCCGUGAACUUUCAAAGCUCAAAAAACUUCAUCAGUCUCACCAUCUCUCCUUUGAAACUGGCAGACUCAGCAACAUACUUCUGUGCUCUUUGGGAUCCCACAGUAAUAGAAAUGACAGUGGAAGAUAAUCAAAAACCUUAGAGCUCCAUAAAGGCAGCCACCUGCUCAGAGGCUUACGAAAACCCAUGAACCACAGAC